GAGUUUGAUCCUGGCUCAGAACGAACGCUGGCGGCGUGGAUAAGACAUGCAAGUCGAACGAGAGAAUUGCUAGCUUGCUAAUAAUUCUCUAGUGGCGCACGGGUGAGUAACACGUGAGUAACCUGCCCCCGAGAGCGGGAUAGCCCUGGGAAACUGGGAUUAAUACCGCAUAGUAUCGAAAGAUUAAAGCAGCAAUGCGCUUGGGGAUGGGCUCGCGGCCUAUUAGUUAGUUGGUGAGGUAACGGCUCACCAAGGCGAUGACGGGUAGCCGGUCUGAGAGGAUGUCCGGCCACACUGGAACUGAGACACGGUCCAGACACCUACGGGUGGCAGCAGUCGAGAAUCAUUCACAAUGGGGGAAACCCUGAUGGUGCGACGCCGCGUGGGGGAAUGAAGGUCUUCGGAUUGUAAACCCCUGUCAUGUGGGAGCAAAUUAAAAAGAUAGUACCACAAGAGGAAGAGACGGCUAACUCUGUGCCAGCAGCCGCGGUAAUAC
This 496-nucleotide ribosomal RNA is filed under the name uncultured bacterium. Its description in RNAcentral is "bacterial SSU rRNA". It matches the Rfam family "Bacterial small subunit ribosomal RNA", at positions 9 to 526 of the family's 1533-position model. The record is from RNAcentral.